ACGGGUGAGUAACGCGUGGGCAAUCUGCCCCUAAGUCCGGGAUAACAGAGCGAAAGUUCUGCUAAGACCGGAUAAUCUUCCUCUGCCGCAUGGUGGAGGAAGGAAAGGGAACGCUUAGGGAUGAGCCCGCGUCCCAUUAGCUAGUUGGUGAGGUAACGGCCCACCAAGGCGACGAUGGGUAGCCGGCCUGAGAGGGUGGACGGCCACACUGGGACUGAGACACGGCCCAGACUCCUACGGGAGGCAGCAGUAGGGAAUUUUCGGCAAUGGGCGAAAGCCUGACCGAGCAACGCCGCGUGAGGGAAGAAGGUCUUCGGAUCGUAAACCUUUGUCAUCGAGGACGAUGAUGACGGUACUCGAGGAGGAAGCCCCGGCUAACUACGUGCCAGCAGCCGCGGUAAUACGUAGGGGGCGAGCGUUGUCCGGAAUUACUGGGCGUAAAGGGCGCGUAGGCGGUCUAAUAAGUCAGAUGUGAAACCCCCGGGCUUAACCCUGGGCUUGCAUUUGAAACUGUUGGACUUGAGGACAGGAGAGGAAAGCGGAAUUCCCAGUGUAGCGGUGAAAUGCGUAGA
Molecule: ribosomal RNA, 572 nt
Filed under: uncultured bacterium
Lineage: Bacteria
Description: bacterial SSU rRNA
Rfam family: Bacterial small subunit ribosomal RNA
Source: RNAcentral